Molecule: long non-coding RNA, 257 nt
Filed under: Zostera marina
Lineage: Eukaryota; Viridiplantae; Streptophyta; Magnoliopsida; Alismatales; Zosteraceae
Description: long non-coding RNA (ZMAR_LNC004818)
Source: RNAcentral
UUCAAUAAGUCAAUAUAAUAUGCGUUUUAGACUGAUGGAGUUGUUUUGCAGGAUGUUUUCUUUUUUGCAGGUAAGAUUUUGUCACUUCGGCCAGAAUCAGAUCUAUUUUGUCGCUUUGGCCUUAAUAGAUCCAGGUCCAAUUUGUCGCUUUGGCCAUAAUGGACCAAAAAUUAUUUUGUCGUUUUGGCCUUAAUAAUUCUCUAUCUUGUCGCUUUGGCCCUGAUAGACUAGAGAUCAUUUUGUCACUUUGGCCUUAA